AUGAAGUCCUACAGUGAGAAUUGGUUGAAGAAGGAUGUCAUGCUAAUUUCAGUUCUUUCCAGCCCAGAGUGCUAUGCCUUCUGCAUUAUUCCCACAUUUCCCUUCAUGUUGAACAAAACCCAGGAUUUUGGCAUGCAUUCAGCUAAUGUAUCUUUUAGCUUGGGAAUGGGGAAUUUGUUGGGUGUGAAGGGUCAAAAUCCCUUCUUCUUCCCUUCCCCAGACUCCCUCAAGAGCGGCUGUGUUUUGCUUUCUUCCCAUCAGUCAGCCUGCCCAUCUUCAUCCCUGAUGCCUGCUUGUUCCACUAUGAGGAACCUCCAGGAGAUCUUCAAGAUCAAUUUCUGGUUCAGGAACAGCUGCUUCUGUUUCUUCCGUUAGCUAGAAAGAAAAAAAUACACAUUUAAACCUUCAGACUUGUAAGAACUCUAGAGGGCGAUCUUUGAAGAACUAAGUAGCUGAAAGAAAACUAGUUAAAAGAAAACCAUGCUGCAAAGUUGAGGUCAAGAUAUAAAUCAUCCCAAUAUAAGAUGGUGCUUGUAAAUAGGGCAUGGAUUCCAGCCCAUCUUUGGCACUUACUGCAGCCAUCUGUCCUGGUAUACACAUUCGGCAUCUGCAAACAUUGUCACCUUAACAUCUGACACUGCUUCUCAGGGAUCAUGGUCUAUCAUGGGAAGACCUUUUCAAGAAUAUCGUUGCAAUGCCAGCUUGAGACAACCUCCUUUUAAGAAGAGCAUGCAUAUGACUUCGCCAAACAGAAGUCUAGCCAGCUUGAUCUCAAAGAGGCACAACUAAUAUAGAGUAAAUUUAGGCUUUUGGGCUAUAUAUAUUCACAUACUUGCUAUUUACACUAAGGCUUUUUGCAGUAAUGGACAAUUAUGCUUUUGAAAGGCCUAACAAUAUUUUGUCAGCUUUCUCUAACAGACAUGAGAGGGUUAUAAUAGUCUCCUUCAAUGUAAGAGAGGUCCCAAGCUUUGGUGAUUGGAAUAAUAAUCUUGUAAUGCAGUGUUAGUCUGAAACAUUUGUAAAUUGGGUACCAGACAUGUUUUAUCUUCACAUAUCCCUACAAGACAUUAAGGAAGGCACGCUGUGUUUUCCAACCUAUUUGCAAAAUGAAUCUUUAACAACCUGACACUAGUGAUACUGUAACAUAUUAACCAGCAGAAUAGAGGAUACUGAAUAAACAGUGCAGUACUUAAUUGUUGGAUACUAUU
Molecule: long non-coding RNA, 1208 nt
Filed under: Apteryx owenii (little spotted kiwi)
Lineage: Eukaryota; Metazoa; Chordata; Aves; Apterygiformes; Apterygidae
Description: lncRNA (ENSAOWG00000006792.1)
Source: RNAcentral